CUAUUACUGAAACUUUGUUUAUAUUGAUAGAUAAUGGUGGCCAGAAUCGGAGGCCCCGACUGUUUACUAAAAACACAACACAGUGCAAUCAUUAAUAUGGUAGUAUACUGUGUGAAAUUUGCCCAAUGCCAUUAAUAUAAAAGCGGUCAUAGGAAACUGUGACUAAUUGAAAAUCUGGUUAAUAGCGGUCUUAACCAUGAGGAUCCUAAGGUAGCAAAAUAAAUUGGCCAUUAAAUGUGGUCCGGUAUCAAUAAUGUAACGAUGGCCUCACUGUCUCUACAACUUGCUCAGUGAAAUUGAAUU
RNAcentral lists this ribosomal RNA (303 nucleotides) under Amanita excelsa. RNAcentral's name for it is "LSU rRNA". It matches the Rfam family "Bacterial large subunit ribosomal RNA", at positions 1739 to 2048 of the family's 2925-position model. Lineage: Eukaryota; Fungi; Basidiomycota; Agaricomycetes; Agaricales; Amanitaceae. The record is from RNAcentral.